GUGGGGAAUAUUGGACAAUGGGCGAAAGCCUGAUCCAGCCAUGCCGCGUGUGUGAAGAAGGUCUUCGGAUUGUAAAGCACUUUAAGUUGGGAGGAAGGGCAGUAAGUUAAUACCUUGCUGUUUUGACGUUACCAACAGAAUAAGCACCGGCUAACUUCGUGCCAGCAGCCGCGGUAAUACGAAGGGUGCAAGCGUUAAUCGGAAUUACUGGGCGUAAAGCGCGCGUAGGUGGUUCAGCAAGUUGGAGGUGAAAUCCCCGGGCUCAACCUGGGAACUGCCUCCAAAACUACUGAGCUAGAGUACGGUAGAGGGUAGUGGAAUUUCCUGUGUAGCGGUGAAAUGCGUAGAUAUAGGAAGGAACACCAGUGGCGAAGGCGACUACCUGGACUGAUACUGACACUGAGGCGCGAAAGCGUGGGGAGCAAACAGGAUUAGAUACCCUGGUAGUCC
RNAcentral lists this ribosomal RNA (450 nucleotides) under uncultured bacterium. Its description in RNAcentral is "bacterial SSU rRNA". It matches the Rfam family "Bacterial small subunit ribosomal RNA", at positions 354 to 796 of the family's 1533-position model. The record is from RNAcentral.